UGGGGCAUAGCGUAGUUUGGUAACGUACCAUCUUGGGGUGAUGGAGAUCGUGGGUUCAAAUCCCGCUGCUCAAAA
RNAcentral lists this transfer RNA (75 nucleotides) under Sanionia uncinata. RNAcentral describes it as "tRNA-Pro". It matches the Rfam family "tRNA". Rfam says of the family: Transfer RNA (tRNA) molecules are approximately 80 nucleotides in length. Their secondary structure includes four short double-helical elements and three loops (D, anti-codon, and T loops). Lineage: Eukaryota; Viridiplantae; Streptophyta; Bryopsida; Hypnales; Amblystegiaceae. The record is from RNAcentral.